AACGCACCUUGCGCCCUUUGGUAAUCCGAGGGGCAUGCCUGUUUGAGUGUCUUGAAGCCCUCAAGCCCAAAGUACUCCUUCGUGGGGAUUGCUUUGAGGCUUGGAUUUGGACCUCUGCCGGUCGCGUUGAGCGUCGGCUGGUCUUGAAAGCAUUAGCUGGCUACUGAGGUUGGCGACCCGGUGUGAUAAGUCACUCGCUGGGGGUAAAGCAACCUUGUCCGGUGGCUGCUGCAAAUCGUCUCGCAAGGGACAAUGCAUCUAAGUGUUUGACCUCAAAUCAGGUAGGACUACCCGCUGAACUUAA
RNAcentral lists this ribosomal RNA (304 nucleotides) under uncultured fungus. Its description in RNAcentral is "eukaryotic LSU rRNA". The stretch from base 1 to 52 matches the Rfam family "5.8S ribosomal RNA", at positions 103 to 154 of the family's 154-position model. The record is from RNAcentral. Lineage: Eukaryota; Fungi.